GUAAAGUAGAACAAAAUCAAUAAAAUAAAGAGUAGAAUACAUGUACACAAAAUAAAUUUUAUGGAUUGUUAAGAAGAGGAAAUAGAAAGUUGGCUGGCUAAAUAAUAAAAAGGACCAAAUUGUCAAACUACUGUCAACACAAAUGAUGGAUCUUACACAUAAUCAAGUUUAUAAAUUAUUCAAAGGCAGAAGCAAUAGCAGGACUUAGGCCAAGCAUUCUUCCUCUAGAGAGAUUUGACACUGUCAGUAUAAUUCUCCAAAUGCAAUUUCUCUUCCACAUUUGGAAAAGAUCUGGUCCAGAUUUCAGAUGUGAUGUUGAACAAUGCUUGUGGAUCAUUGUUAGAAGAGAGGGCCUCAUUCAGUAAUGGAACCCCUCUUUUUUAUAUCCCGUUAACAACAUAAUUUACGUGACCUUUUCCAGUGGGCCAUGACUCAUAAAUCCAUAAACUGUAGGCUCCUUUACAUCAAACAGAGACCAGGCAGAUCCUGAUAAAAGCAUUUUAAAGAUGUCAUUCCUGAAAGAUUUUCUGAUAAAUGUGAGGCAAUUUUCGGUAUGCUGCAAAUACACUGCAUCAGCAGCCUAUAGAAGUAACGCUACCAAGAUUUGAAUGAUAUUAAACAAUUUGUCAGCUAUUUAUAAUUAAAUCAAUAUCACCUUUUUUGGAAGCACAUCUUCGUCAAUCAAAUUCCUUGAGGUGGCUGCCCUGAUAUUCAUCAGUUCCUGAUUGCUGACAUCUGAAACAUACAGGAAUCAUGAGUUAAAGGCCAAGCCAUUUUGAAAAUGUAUUAGGUCCAUUACCACUAAAUCACGGAUUAUCUACCAGAAUAAAAACUCAUCUAAUUUUGUCCAUUUUGAUUUCAUUUAUCUGUAUUCCAAUGAUAUGGUAAUUGUUGACCAAUUUAUACUUGUCUACUGUUUUACAUAUUUUGUUUUUUUUUAACCAGAAGUCACCAAGAAAUGUAUAAUUAAUGAAAAAUGCUGUCAAAAUUCAUUGACAUUGCAUGGUAUUAUGCCAAUUCAUAAACGC
This 1028-nucleotide long non-coding RNA is filed under the name Equus caballus (horse). Its description in RNAcentral is "lncRNA (ENSECAG00000055605.1)". The record is from RNAcentral. Lineage: Eukaryota; Metazoa; Chordata; Mammalia; Perissodactyla; Equidae.